UACGUAGGGGGCAAGCGUUGUCCGGAAUCAUUGGGCGUAAAGCGCGUGUAGGCGGCCAGAAAAGUCCGCUGUGAAAACUCGAGGCUCAACUUCGAGCUGUCGGUGGAAACUUUCUGGCUAGAGUCCGGUAGGGGAGCGUGGAAUUCCCGGUGUAGCGGUGAAAUGCGCAGAUAUCGGGAGGAACACCAGUGGCGAAGGCGGCGCUCUGGGCCGGAACUGACGCUGAGGAGCGAAAGCGUGGGUAGCAAACAGG
Molecule: ribosomal RNA, 253 nt
Filed under: uncultured bacterium
Lineage: Bacteria
Description: partial 16S ribosomal RNA
Rfam family: Bacterial small subunit ribosomal RNA
Source: RNAcentral